Molecule: ribosomal RNA, 330 nt
Filed under: uncultured eukaryote
Lineage: Eukaryota
Description: partial 18S ribosomal RNA
Rfam family: Eukaryotic small subunit ribosomal RNA
Source: RNAcentral
UCCUUAGAUGUUCGGGGCCGCACGCGCGCUACACUGAAGGAAUCAGCACGUCUUUCUCCUUGUCCGAAAGGACUGGGUAACCCGCUGAACCUCCUUCGUGCUAGGGAUUGGGGCUUGUAAUUCUUCCCCAUGAACGAGGAAUUCCCAGUAAGCGCGAGUCAUAAGCUCGCGUUGAUUACGUCCCUGCCCUUUGUACACACCGCCCGUCGCUACUACCGAUUGGAUGGUUUAGUGAGAUCCUCGGAUUGGUCCCGGAGCGGCCUCUGGUCGUGCCGGAGUGCCGAAAAGAAUGUCGAACUUGAUCAUCUAGAGGAAGUAAAAGUCGUAACA